UGCCAGAUAGUGUAAUGGUAACACAGCAGACCUUGACUCUGUUAAGUGUAGGUUCGAGUCCUACUCUGGCAUCCA
This 75-nucleotide transfer RNA is filed under the name Caudoviricetes sp. RNAcentral's name for it is "tRNA-Gln". It matches the Rfam family "tRNA". From Rfam's summary of the family: Transfer RNA (tRNA) molecules are approximately 80 nucleotides in length. Their secondary structure includes four short double-helical elements and three loops (D, anti-codon, and T loops). The record is from RNAcentral. Lineage: Duplodnaviria; Heunggongvirae; Uroviricota; Caudoviricetes.